Molecule: ribosomal RNA, 253 nt
Filed under: uncultured bacterium
Lineage: Bacteria
Description: partial 16S ribosomal RNA
Rfam family: Bacterial small subunit ribosomal RNA
Source: RNAcentral
UACGUAGGCAGCGAGCGUUGUUCGGAGUUACUGGGCGUAAAGGGUGUGUAGGCGGUUUUCUAAGUUUGGUGUGAAAUCUCCCGGCUCAACCGGGAGGGUGCGCCGAAAACUGGGAGACUAGAGUGCGGGAUGGGAGAGUAGAAUUCCUGGUGUAGCGGUGAAAUGCGUAGAUAUCAGGAGGAACACCAAUGGCGAAGGCAGCACUCUGGGACGUGACUGACGCUGAGACGCGAAAGCGUGGGGAGCAAACAGG